UUAGAACUUUGGAUUAAUAAUUGGUGGAGUACCAGGCAAUCCGAAAUUCUCUUAACUGAUAUUCUAGAGAAAAGGAUUCUAGAAAGCUUCGUAGAAUUAGAAGAACUUCCUCUCUUGGACGAGAUGAUAAAAGGGAAACUAAAGACACGUGUACAAAAACCUCCUACUCACACAAGGAAACAAUAUUAA
Molecule: ribosomal RNA, 189 nt
Filed under: Triticum aestivum (bread wheat)
Lineage: Eukaryota; Viridiplantae; Streptophyta; Magnoliopsida; Poales; Poaceae
Description: partial small subunit ribosomal RNA
Source: RNAcentral